This 254-nucleotide ribosomal RNA is filed under the name uncultured bacterium. RNAcentral's name for it is "partial 16S ribosomal RNA". It matches the Rfam family "Bacterial small subunit ribosomal RNA", at positions 524 to 776 of the family's 1533-position model. The record is from RNAcentral.
GACGAACCGUGCGAACGUUAUUCGGAAUCACUGGGCUUAAAGCGCGUGUAGGCGGGGCAGCACGUCGGUUGCUGAAAUCCCCCGGCUCAACCGGGGAACGGGCACCGAUACGACUGGCCUGGAGGGGAGUAGGGGGACCUGGAACUUCCGGUGGAGCGGUGAAAUGCGUUGAGAUCGGAAGGAACGCCCGUGGCGAAAGCGAGGUCCUGGGCUCCUGCUGACGCUGAGACGCGAAAGCCAGGGGAGCGAACGGG